GUUAAGUCCCGCAACGAGCGCAACCCUUAUCCUUUGUUGCCAGCGGUUCGGCCGGGAACUCAAAGGAGACUGCCAGUGAUAAACUGGAGGAAGGUGGGGAUGACGUCAAGUCAUCAUGGCCCUUACGAGUAGGGCUACACACGUGCUACAAUGGCAUAUACAAAGAGAAGCGACCUCGCGAGAGCAAGCGGACCUCAUAAAGUAUGUCGUAGUCCGGAUUGGAGUCUGCAACUCGACUCCAUGAAGUCGGAAUCGCUAGUAAUCGUAGAUCAGAAUGCUACGGUGAAUACGUUCCCGGGCCUUGUACACACCGCCCGUCACACCAUGGGAGUGGGUUGCAAAAGAAGUAGGUAGCUUAACCUUCGGGAGGGCGCUUACCACUUUGUGAUUCAUGACUGGGGUGAAGUCGUAACAAGGUAACCGUA
This 425-nucleotide ribosomal RNA is filed under the name Serratia marcescens. RNAcentral describes it as "bacterial SSU rRNA". It matches the Rfam family "Bacterial small subunit ribosomal RNA", at positions 1079 to 1504 of the family's 1533-position model. Lineage: Bacteria; Pseudomonadati; Pseudomonadota; Gammaproteobacteria; Enterobacterales; Yersiniaceae. The record is from RNAcentral.